This 2693-nucleotide ribosomal RNA is filed under the name Monocercomonoides acer. Its description in RNAcentral is "partial small subunit ribosomal RNA". The stretch from base 312 to 2693 matches the Rfam family "Eukaryotic small subunit ribosomal RNA". The record is from RNAcentral. Lineage: Eukaryota; Preaxostyla; Oxymonadida; Polymastigidae.
UGUAAGUAUAAACAACUUGUACUUGUGAAACUGCGAAUGGCUCAUUAAACCAGUUAUAAUUCAUUUGACAGUGAUUAGUAUUUGCUUAAUGCACAUAUUACUAAAUGGAUAGCCGUAGUAAUUCUAGAGCUAAUACAUGCGUAAAAGUUUGACUUGGGGGUUUCGGCCUCUGGGAAGAACUGUGUUUAUUAGAUCAAAAACCGAUGCUGUUGGUUGAGCCUUCUCAGCAAUGGGGGGGAGUUCGCUGGCAGUUAAAUAUUGGUGAAUCAUGAUAAAUGUCGAAUCGAAAUUUAAAUGGGUGCUAGUGUGGUGACCCCAUGCUAUUCGUGCCUAUUUUUCGAUGUGUCAUUGAAAUUUCUGCCCUAUCAACUAUGAUGGUAGGAUAGAGGCCUACGAUGGUUUUGACGGGUAACGGAGAGUCAGGGCUCGACUCCGGAGAGGGAGCCUGAGAAACGGCUACCACUUCCAAGGAAGGCAGCAGGCGCGCAAAUUACCCAAUCCCAACAAUGCUGUGGGGAGGUAGUGACAAAAAAUAACGAUGCGGUGCACAAUGUGUACUGUAAUUGGAAUGGUUCUAAUGUAAAUGCUUAGAAGAGCAACGAUUAGAGGGCAAGUCUGGUGCCAGCAGCCGCGGUAAUUCCAGCUCUAAUAGUGUAUACUAAAAUUGCUGCAGUUAAAAAGCUCGUAGUUGGAUUUUGGGGUGAAUUCAUUUGGUGAUAUUUUUAGUGUGCUGGUCUCUUGGCGAGCGGUCUUCUGAUCGUUUGUUAGGAGCUUUCACACGUUUUGAAUAUUGGGAUGCUUCUCUUUUGGCGGCGCAUCUAAGGGCAGGGGCAACUCUGCUACAUUUGUGUCGGCGAAUCAGCGGUCUGGCUUUCGGGCCUUUCCGGGUUGUGUCUCGGGGGAAUCCGUUCUAACUUCGGUUAGUGCGGGUUGGUAACGGCUCAUCCCUUUUGUCUUUUAGGCAGAAUAUGGGCCCUCCUAGAAUUCAUUCCAUAUAAAGCAUUGUUUCGAAAUGCGGUGUUCCUCUUAAUUGUAGUGAACGCUCUAGAACUACUUUCGGGUGGUUUGUGCAAUUCGAAUCGUUUACUUUGAAGAAAAUGGAGUGUUCAAAGCAGGCGUUCUGGGUUUACCCGGGAUUAUAUCGCAACUGAACACAUUAGCAUGGAAUAAUAAAAUAUGACACUUUUCUCGCCAUGUAACUUGUUAUGUGGUUAGUGUUCCAAUUUUGUUGGUUUGUGGAAGAAGUGUAAUGAUUAAAAGGGAUAGUUGGGGGCAUUUGUAUUGCAUUGUCAGAGGUGAAAUUCUUGGAUUUAUGCAAGACAAACUUAUGCGAAAGCAUUUGCCAAGGAUGUUUUCAUUAAUCAAGAACGAAAGUUAGGGGAUCGAAGACGAUCAGAAACCGUCGUAGUCUUAGCUAUAAACGAUACCGACUAGGGAUUGUCGGGAGUUAAUUUACUUAUAACAUAGGUGACUAGGUGUGCUUCGAGGCAGCCUGGCGGGGCAACUCGUUGGGAGAUGUGCGGAGCAAGGCCGGCUUAUGAAGAAAACUAACGCCGUCAGAACCUUUUAGAGAAAUCAAAGUUUUUGGGUUCUGGGGGGAGUAUGGUCGCAAGGCUGAAACUUAAAGAAAUUGACGGAAGGGCACCACCAGGUGUGGAGCCUGUGGCUUAAUUUGACUCAACACGGGGAAACUUACCAGGUCCAGACGCGGGAAGGAUUGACAGAUUGAUAGUUCUUUCUUGAUUCCGUGGGUGGUGGUGCAUGGUCGUUCUUAGUUGGUGGAGUGAUUUGUCUGGUUAAUUCCGAUAACGAACGAGACCUCAACCUGCUAACUAGCCGAGUAAUACGAGUACCAGUCGGUCCUCUUUGCUCUUUAUCGUAGGUGGGAGGGGCAACUCUCUUGCUUGCGUUGGACGGGGAGGUAACCGGCUGAUUAAGAAUAGCGGCUUGGCGGGGCAACUCGUCGGGUGAUUAGCAUCUUAAUUAGUAUUACUCACACCAAUGCGCGGGGUGCAGACUGGGUGUGGCGGGCCUGGGUAACACCAGGUUUUAGCUGCAUUUUAGUACUUGUGCUCUAGCGGUUGGUGGGGAUGCAGGCGGAGCUGCUCGUGGGGGCGUGCAUGCGGGGCAACUCGUGUGUGUGUUUUCUGCGGACUGUCUCUUGCUCUGUGUCUUUUGAAUUUGAUUAUUGGAACUUCUUAGAGGGACUACCAUGGUUGCACAUGGGGGAAGUAUGAGGCAAUAACAGGUCUGUGAUGCCCUUAGAUGUCCUGGGCCGCACACGCGCUACACUGACUAGUUCAAAGAGUACUUAUAUUCUGAAUCUUUGUAUUGUCUUCUUGUGCUGUGCCUGGAGGGGUUGUGGCGGGGUUUCGGCUUCGUUGCAGUUCUGAAGGGAUUUCGGUGCUUGAAGCGUGCAUACAUUCUGAAUUAAAUCCUUGCCCGGAAGGGCUGGGUAAUCUAUGGAAAACUAGUCGUGAUGGGGAUUGAUUUUUGGAAUUAUGAAUCAUGAACGAGGAAUACCUAGUAAGCGCAAUUCAUCAGAUUGCGUUGAUUACGUCCCUGCCCUUUGUACACACCGCCCGUCGCUCCUACCGAUUGAAUGAUCAGAUGAAAUGUUCGGAUUGUGCGCUUGCAAGCUUCCUUCGGGGAGUUGGCGGGAGUGCGAGAAGAGCAGUGAAUCUUAUUAUUUA